AACGCGAAGAACCUUACCAGGGUUUGACAUGCAACUGCACCACCCGUUAUGGGGUGUCCCGCAAGGGCGGUUGCACAGGUGCUGCAUGGCUGUCGUCAGCUCGUGUCGUGAGAUGUUGGGUUCAGUCCCGCAACGAGCGCAACCCCUGCCGUUAGUUGCAUGAUCUAGCGGGACCGCCGCGAUCAACGCGGAGGAAGGCGGGGAUGACGUCAAGUCAGCACGGCCCUUACACCCUGGGCUACACACACGCUACAAUGGUCGGGACAACGGGCCGCCAACCCGCGAGGGGGAGCCAAUCCCAUCAAAACCGGCCUCAGUUCAGAUUGCAGGCUGCAACUCGCCUGCAUGAAGAUGGAGUUGCUAGUAACCGUGGGUCAGCACACCACGGUGAAUACGUUCCCGGGCCUUGUA
This 411-nucleotide ribosomal RNA is filed under the name uncultured Chloroflexota bacterium. RNAcentral's name for it is "bacterial SSU rRNA". It matches the Rfam family "Bacterial small subunit ribosomal RNA", at positions 958 to 1385 of the family's 1533-position model. Lineage: Bacteria; Bacillati; Chloroflexota. The record is from RNAcentral.